CACUGUAAAACUUUGCUGUAAAUUUACAGCUAAUUUCUAACAGUAUUAUACUGUAUUUUCAUAAAACAGUAACAUUCUGUAUAUUUUACAGAAUGUCUGUAAAUAUACAGUAGUUUUCUGUUUUCAGCCCGUUUCGCUCGUAAUACAGUAUAAUACUGUAGAAGCAUUGCAUUAUGGGAUUGAUUUUUUUUCCACGCUCAUUUUAAAUUUCUAGGCCAGGCAUACAUUUUAGCUUUUCUCCCAACGCUUUUAGUGUUUCACGUCGACUCUUCACGGUUUAAUGUUAUCAUUAAACGAUAUUUGAGUAAAUAUAGUGUGCAGUUUUAAGCUUUCGAAGCGUCAGUUUGCCUGAGACGCGGGAUGACUGGACGCCGCUGCUGAGAAGACGGAGAUGUUAUUUUCCGCCUGAUUAAUCAAAACGUUUGUGCCCGUGUCGAGAAGACGGAUAAACGAUUGUUCGGCUGAGAAUACGUCUGAAUCAUCUGAUGCAGCUCCAUUGUUUACGCUUUGACAUACACCCUAAACAUGGCUCAAGAACCAGAAAGGGGGGAAAAUUGCCUUCUGUGAAAUAUGGUUAUGUUAACGUACUUUGACAUCAACCAUGAACACUG
Megalobrama amblycephala (Wuchang bream) is the source of this 611-nucleotide long non-coding RNA. RefSeq lists it as uncharacterized. The record is from RefSeq and is a predicted model, not a curated record. The transcript has 4 exons. Lineage: Eukaryota; Metazoa; Chordata; Actinopteri; Cypriniformes; Xenocyprididae.